CCUAAUCGUGACCCUGAGUCCGUUUCUGAUCUUUUUUUUUUGUUCCUGAUUGUCUUCUCCACUGCAAGCUCCUCCACGAUCGAAAUUUUAAUCCUAACCCUAAUCUGCAACCCUAAGCCUAACUCUGAUACUAACACUGACUAUGACCCUGACCCUAACCCUAAUCUAACCCUAACCCUAAUCAUAUCUCCAAACCUAACUCCAACACAAACCCUAAACCUAAUCCUAACCCAACCCUUAAUACUACUCCUCACAUCUAACACUAACCCUAACCUGAUCAACCCCAUUCCACAAUCCCCUAACUUGCUAACCCUAACCCUAACCUACAAUCCUAAUCCUAAUC
Molecule: long non-coding RNA, 343 nt
Filed under: Elaeis guineensis (African oil palm)
Lineage: Eukaryota; Viridiplantae; Streptophyta; Magnoliopsida; Arecales; Arecaceae
Description: long non-coding RNA (EGUI_LNC028593)
Source: RNAcentral